GUACACUCCUACGGGAGGCAGCAGUGGGGAAUUUUGGACAAUGGGCGAAAGCCUGAUCCAGCAAUGCCGCGUGAGUGAAGAAGGCCUUCGGGUUGUAAAGCUCUUUUGUCAGGGAAGAAACGGUGAGAGCUAAUAUCUCUUGCUAAUGACGGUACCUGAAGAAUAAGCACCGGCUAACUACGUGCCAGCAGCCGCGGUAAUACGUAGGGUGCAAGCGUUAAUCGGAAUUACUGGGCGUAAAGCGUGCGCAGGCGGUUUUGUAAGUCUGAUGUGAAAUCCCCGGGCUCAACCUGGGAAUUGCAUUGGAGACUGCAAGGCUAGAAUCUGGCAGAGGGGGGUAGAAUUCCACGUGUAGCAGUGAAAUGCGUAGAUAUGUGGAGGAACACCGAUGGCGAAGGCAGCCCCCUGGGUCAAGAUUGACGCUCAUGCACGAAAGCGUGGGGAGCAAACAGGAUUAGAAACCCUAGUAGUCCCA
Molecule: ribosomal RNA, 475 nt
Filed under: uncultured organism
Description: partial 16S ribosomal RNA
Rfam family: Bacterial small subunit ribosomal RNA
Source: RNAcentral